This 809-nucleotide ribosomal RNA is filed under the name uncultured Microbacteriaceae bacterium. RNAcentral's name for it is "bacterial SSU rRNA". It matches the Rfam family "Bacterial small subunit ribosomal RNA", at positions 73 to 893 of the family's 1533-position model. Lineage: Bacteria; Bacillati; Actinomycetota; Actinomycetes; Micrococcales; Microbacteriaceae. The record is from RNAcentral.
CUGGAGCUUGCUCCGGUGGAUUAGUGGCGAACGGGUGAGUAACACGUGAGCAAUCUGCCCUUCACUCUGGGAUAACUGCGGGAAACUGUAGCUAAUACCGGAUACGAGACCUUGGGGCAUCCCAGGGUCUGGAAAGAAUUUCGGUGAAGGAUGAGCUCGCGGCCUAUCAGCUAGUUGGUGAGGUAAUGGCUCACCAAGGCGACGACCGGGUAGCCGGCCUGAGAGGGUGACCGGCCACACUGGGACUGAGACACGGCCCAGACUCCUACGGGAGGCAGCAGUGGGGAAUAUUGCACAAUGGGCGAAAGCCUGAUGCAGCAACGCCGCGUGAGGGAUGAAGGCCUUCGGGUUGUAAACCUCUUUUAGUAGGGAAGAAGCGAAAGUGACGGUACCUACAGAAAAAGCACCGGCUAACUACGUGCCAGCAGCCGCGGUAAUACGUAGGGUGCAAGCGUUGUCCGGAAUUAUUGGGCGUAAAGAGCUCGUAGGCGGUUUGUCGCGUCUGCUGUGAAAAUCCGAAGCUCAACUUCGGACCUGCAGUGGGUACGGGCAAACUAGAGUGCGGUAGGGGAGAAGGGAAUUCCUGGUGUAGCGGUGGAAUGCGCAGAUAUCAGGAGGAACACCGAUGGCGAAGGCACUUCUCUGGGCCGUAACUGACGCUGAGGAGCGAAAGCGUGGGGAGCGAACAGGAUUAGAUACCCUGGUAGUCCACGCCGUAAACGGUGGGUGCUAGUUGUGGGUUCCAUUCCACGGAAUCCGUGACGAAGUUAACACAUUAAGCACCCCGCCUGGGGAGUACGGUCGCAAGA